This is an RNA transcript of Mus musculus (house mouse), 4355 nucleotides long. It is a transcript of the gene named potassium voltage-gated channel, subfamily H (eag-related), member 2, with no coding region annotated. The record is from RefSeq and is marked validated. Lineage: Eukaryota; Metazoa; Chordata; Mammalia; Rodentia; Muridae. The transcript has 15 exons.
GGAGCGGCUGUCGGCGCGGCGGCGGCGGGCAGGCGUGAGCCGGGAGCCCGGCGCUGGAGCGGGCGGAGCGCGGCGCGGGGACGAGGUGCAGCCGGGCCCGUGGCACCACCAGCCCGGGUCGACAGACAGGUGUGCCGGCGCCGCAGCUCCAGCAGCUUCAGGCCCGGCCCAGGGUCCGGAGCCGGCAGCCACUAAGCAGAGCGGGAAUCCCGCGCCCUCGGUCCAGUUCCGGCCCCGCCCGCACUCAGCUUGGCCGCGGGGUGCGGAGACCACGGCCCGGCCAGGCCACCCGAAGCCUAGUGCUGGGCCGGGCCGGGCCAGGGUGGGUGGGGGCCCGCCCGGCCCGCCCAUGGGCUCAGGAUGCCGGUGCGGAGGGGCCACGUCGCGCCGCAGAACACCUUCCUCGACACCAUCAUCCGCAAGUUUGAGGGCCAGAGCCGCAAGUUCAUCAUCGCUAACGCGCGCGUAGAGAACUGCGCUGUCAUCUACUGCAACGACGGCUUCUGCGAACUGUGUGGCUACUCGCGGGCCGAGGUGAUGCAGCGGCCCUGCACCUGCGAUUUCCUGCAUGGGCCGCGCACGCAGCGCCGUGCCGCCGCGCAGAUCGCGCAGGCCCUGCUGGGCGCAGAGGAGCGCAAAGUGGAGAUCGCCUUCUACCGGAAAGAUGGGAGCUGCUUCCUGUGUCUGGUGGAUGUGGUACCCGUGAAGAAUGAAGAUGGGGCUGUGAUCAUGUUCAUCCUCAACUUUGAAGUAGUGAUGGAGAAGGACAUGGUAGGGUCCCCGGCUCAUGACACCAACCACAGGGGCCCCUCUACCAGCUGGCUAGCUUCUGGCCGGGCCAAGACUUUCCGCCUGAAGCUGCCUGCCUUGUUGGCACUGACGGCCAGGGAAUCAUCUGUGCGGACAGGAAGCAUGCGCAGUGCUGGAGCCCCUGGGGCGGUGGUGGUGGAUGUGGACCUGACGCCGGCAGCACCCAGCAGUGAGUCCCUGGCCUUGGAUGAGGUUUCUGCCAUGGACAACCAUGUGGCAGGGCUUGGGCCUGCAGAAGAGAGGCGAGCACUGGUGGGCCCGGGGUCUGCUUCACCAGUAGCCAGCAUCCGAGGCCCUCACCCAUCGCCACGAGCUCAGAGCCUUAACCCUGAUGCCUCAGGUUCCAGCUGCAGCCUGGCCCGGACACGCUCCCGUGAGAGCUGCGCUAGCGUGCGCCGCGCAUCAUCCGCGGAUGACAUUGAGGCAAUGCGGGCUGGAGCGCUGCCCCCUCCGCCCCGCCAUGCAAGCACAGGGGCCAUGCACCCCCUGCGCAGUGGCCUGCUUAACUCCACCUCAGACUCUGACCUUGUACGCUACCGAACCAUUAGCAAGAUACCCCAAAUCACUCUCAACUUUGUGGACCUCAAAGGCGACCCUUUCCUGGCUUCACCCACCAGUGACCGGGAGAUUAUAGCACCCAAGAUAAAAGAGCGGACCCACAAUGUCACCGAGAAGGUCACCCAGGUCCUGUCCUUGGGAGCAGAUGUGCUGCCUGAGUAUAAGCUGCAGGCCCCAAGAAUCCACCGCUGGACCAUCCUCCACUACAGCCCCUUCAAGGCGGUGUGGGACUGGCUCAUCCUGCUGCUGGUCAUCUACACGGCAGUCUUCACACCGUACUCGGCCGCCUUCCUGCUGAAGGAGACUGAAGAUGGGUCCCAAGCCCCUGACUGUGGCUACGCCUGCCAGCCCCUGGCUGUAGUGGACCUCAUCGUGGACAUCAUGUUCAUUGUGGACAUCCUUAUCAAUUUCCGUACCACCUAUGUUAAUGCCAACGAGGAGGUGGUUAGCCAUCCUGGCCGCAUUGCUGUGCACUACUUCAAGGGCUGGUUUCUCAUUGACAUGGUGGCUGCCAUCCCCUUCGACCUGCUCAUCUUUGGCUCUGGCUCCGAGGAGCUGAUCGGGCUGCUGAAAACUGCGAGGCUGCUGCGGCUGGUGCGCGUGGCUCGGAAGCUGGACCGCUACUCGGAGUACGGGGCAGCAGUGCUCUUCCUGCUCAUGUGCACCUUCGCCCUCAUUGCGCACUGGUUGGCCUGCAUCUGGUACGCGAUCGGCAACAUGGAACAGCCUCACAUGGACUCACACAUCGGCUGGCUGCACAACUUGGGCGACCAGAUCGGCAAGCCCUACAACAGCAGCGGCCUGGGAGGCCCCUCCAUCAAGGACAAGUAUGUCACAGCGCUCUACUUCACCUUCAGCAGCCUCACCAGCGUGGGCUUUGGCAAUGUCUCUCCCAACACCAACUCAGAGAAGAUCUUCUCCAUCUGUGUCAUGCUCAUUGGCUACUGAGUCGUGACCGGACCGCGAGUGUCGUUGACCUGGUGCGGGGCCUGAGCAGAGGGUCCCCGUGGGCGGGCGGGGUCCCUGCGGAUGCUGACGGCCCCACUCACCCACGCCCCCAGCCCUCAUGUAUGCCAGCAUCUUCGGCAACGUGUCCGCCAUCAUCCAGCGGCUGUACUCGGGCACGGCCCGCUACCACACACAGAUGCUCCGGGUGCGGGAGUUUAUCCGCUUUCACCAGAUUCCCAACCCAUUACGCCAGCGCCUCGAGGAGUACUUCCAGCAUGCUUGGUCCUACACCAAUGGCAUCGACAUGAACGCGGUGCUGAAGGGCUUCCCUGAGUGCCUCCAGGCUGACAUCUGCCUACACCUGAACCGCUCGCUGCUGCAGCAUUGCAAGCCAUUCCGAGGGGCCACUAAAGGCUGCCUGAGGGCGCUGGCUAUGAAGUUCAAGACCACACAUGCACCACCAGGGGACACACUAGUGCACGCCGGGGACCUGCUUACUGCCCUCUACUUCAUCUCCAGGGGCUCCAUCGAGAUCCUGCGGGGUGAUGUCGUGGUGGCCAUCUUGGGGAAGAACGACAUCUUUGGAGAGCCUCUGAACCUAUAUGCCCGUCCUGGAAAGUCCAAUGGGGAUGUGCGGGCCCUCACGUACUGUGACCUGCACAAGAUCCAUCGUGAUGACUUGCUGGAGGUGUUGGACAUGUAUCCCGAGUUCUCAGAUCACUUUUGGUCUAGCCUGGAGAUCACCUUCAACCUUCGAGAUACCAACAUGAUUCCUGGCUCCCCAGGCAGUGCAGAACUAGAGAGCGGCUUUAACAGGCAACGCAAGCGCAAACUGUCAUUCCGCAGGCGUACAGACAAGGACACAGAGCAGCCAGGGGAGGUGUCAGCCCUGGGGCAAGGCCCUGCCCGAGUUGGGCCAGGGCCGAGUUGCCGGGGACAGCCGGGAGGGCCAUGGGGGGAGAGCCCAUCCAGCGGCCCUUCCAGCCCAGAGAGCAGUGAAGAUGAGGGCCCUGGUCGCAGCUCCAGUCCCCUCCGCCUGGUGCCCUUCUCCAGCCCCAGGCCUCCGGGAGACCCCCCAGGUGGGGAGCCUUUGACAGAGGAUGGGGAGAAAAGUGACACCUGUAAUCCCUUGUCAGGUGCCUUCUCUGGGGUGUCCAAUAUUUUCAGCUUCUGGGGGGACAGUCGGGGGCGCCAGUACCAGGAGUUGCCUCGAUGCCCUGCCCCUGCCCCCAGCCUCCUCAACAUCCCCUUGUCUAGCCCUGGUCGGCGAUCCCGGGGUGAUGUGGAGAGCAGGCUGGACGCACUCCAGAGACAGCUGAACAGGCUGGAAACCCGGCUAAGUGCAGACAUGGCCACUGUCCUACAGCUGCUACAGAGGCAAAUGACCCUGGUCCCUCCUGCCUACAGUGCUGUGACCACCCCUGGGCCCGGCCCCACUUCCGCAUCCCCUUUGUUGCCUGUCGGCCCUGUCCCCACUCUCACCCUGGACUCGCUUUCUCAGGUUUCCCAGUUCGUGGCGUUUGAGGAGCUUCCUGCAGGAGCCCCAGAGCUCCCCCAAGAUGGCCCCACUCGACGCCUCUCCCUGCCCGGCCAGCUGGGGGCCCUUACCUCCCAGCCCCUGCACAGACAUGGCUCAGAUCCAGGCAGUUAGUGAUGCUGCCCACUGUGGACAUGUGGCUCACCCUGGGUUCAGGGCAUUACCUGACCGCUCUCCUUGGAGACCCUGGUUUGGAGGGGAGACCUGUGCAGAAGCACCUCCAUCCCCACCCUUGGGACCAGCAUCUCCUCCUGCAAUACCCUGGGCCCCACUGGGAGGGGCAGGACAGAGCUGGGCAGUGGAUGGGGGUCUGUGGUCCCCCCACUGCCCUGGGGGCAUUAGCUGGUCUAACUGCCCGGAGGCACCGGCCCUGGGCCUUAGGCACCUCAAGGACUUUUCUGCUAUUUACUGCUCUUAUUGUUAAGGAUAAUAAUUAAGGAUCAUAUGAAUAAUUAAUGAAGAUGCUGAUGACUAUGAAUAAUAAAUAAUUAUCCUGAGGAGA